CCUACGGGAGGCUGCAGUGGGGAAUAUUGCACAAUGGGGGCAACCCUGAUGCAGCGACGCCGCGUGAGUGAAGAAGUAAUUCGUUACGUAAAGCUCUAUCAGCAGGGAAGAAAAUGACGGUACCUGAGUAAGAAGCCCCGGCUAACUACGUUCCAGCAGCCGCGGGAAUACGGAGGGGGCAAGCGUGAUCCGGAUUUACUGGGUGUAAAGGGAGCGUAGACGGUGGGACAAGUCUGGAGUGAAAUGCCGCGGCUAAACCGGGAAAUUGCUUUGGAAACUGGCGAACUAGAGUGCGGUAGGGGUAGGCGGAAUUCGUGGUGUAGCGGUGAAAUGCGUAGAUAUCAGGAGGAACACCGGUGGCGAAGGCGGCUUACUGGACCGUAACUGACGUUGAGGCUCGAAAGUGUGGGGAGCAAACAGGAUUAGAUACCCCAGUAGUC
RNAcentral lists this ribosomal RNA (440 nucleotides) under uncultured bacterium. RNAcentral's name for it is "partial 16S ribosomal RNA". It matches the Rfam family "Bacterial small subunit ribosomal RNA", at positions 338 to 795 of the family's 1533-position model. The record is from RNAcentral.